Molecule: ribosomal RNA, 217 nt
Filed under: Clostridioides difficile
Lineage: Bacteria; Bacillati; Bacillota; Clostridia; Peptostreptococcales; Peptostreptococcaceae
Description: partial 23S ribosomal RNA
Rfam family: Bacterial large subunit ribosomal RNA
Source: RNAcentral
CUUAGGGAUAAGGGGUGCCACCAUCAGGUGGCCGCAGAGAAUAGGCCCAAGCGACUGUUUACCAAAAACAUAGGUUUCUGCUAAGUCGCCAGACGAUGUAUAGGAGCUGACGCCUGCCCGGUGCUGGAAGGUUAAGGGGAUCUGUUAGAGCAAUCGAAGCAGUGAACUUAAGCCCCAGUAAACGGCGGCCGUAACUAUAACGGUCCUAAGGUAGCGA